This 645-nucleotide long non-coding RNA is filed under the name Cricetulus griseus (Chinese hamster). Its description in RNAcentral is "lncRNA (ENSCGRG00015032053.1)". Lineage: Eukaryota; Metazoa; Chordata; Mammalia; Rodentia; Cricetidae. The record is from RNAcentral.
AUAGUCUGGAAGUAAUGAAAGUGGUGCAUGAUGAUAAACAUGUUAGCAGCAAGAACAUACCUCUAUUGUUGGAACUGAGAACUGAACGCUGCGUGUUCACAUUUUAAGUGCAACAAAUGACUGGAGAGCUCUUUGUACUCCAUUCUCAGGCAAAUGGAUGGAACUAGAAGAAACCAUCCUGAGUGAGGUAACCCAGUCACAGAAAGACAAACACAAGCCUUCAUCCAGUAGCUGAUGGAAGCAGAAGCAGAGAUCCACAGCUAAGCACUGAGCCGAACUCCUAGAGUCCAUGAAGGAGUGAUGAGCAAAGGGGUCAAGACCAUGCUAGAUGACCUGAGCAAGUGGCAGCUCAUGGACCCCAGCCAGACAGCUGAGGAACCAGCAUCGGACUAAACCAGGCCUCCUGAACUUGGGUGACAGUUAGGAGGCCUGGGCAGUCCAUGGGGCCUCUUGCAGUGGAACCAGUAUUCAUUCCUAGUGCACGAAUGGACUUUGGGAGCCCAUUCCUCCACGGAGGGAUACUCUCUCAGCCUAAAUACACAGGGGAGGGUCUAGGCCCCGCCCAAAAUGAUGUGACAGUCUUUGAAGAUUCCCCAAUGGAAGGCCUCACUCUUUCUGGAGCGUGGAUAGGGAGUGGGAUGGGGC